RNAcentral lists this ribosomal RNA (492 nucleotides) under uncultured bacterium. RNAcentral's name for it is "partial 16S ribosomal RNA". It matches the Rfam family "Bacterial small subunit ribosomal RNA", at positions 29 to 507 of the family's 1533-position model. The record is from RNAcentral.
AGUGAACGCUGGCGGUAGGCCUAACACAUGCAAGUCGAACGGCAGCACAGUAAGAGCUUGCUCUUACGGGUGGCGAGUAGCGGACGGGUGAGGAAUACAUCGGAAUCUACUUUUUCGUGGGGGAUAACGUAGGGAAACUUACGCUAAUACCGCAUACGACCUACGGGUGAAAGCAGGGGAUCUUCGGACCUUGCGCGAUUGAAUGAGCCGAUGUCGGAUUAGCUAGUUGGCGGGGUAAAGGCCCACCAAGGCGACGAUCCGUAGCUGGUCUGAGAGGAUGAUCAGCCACACUGGAACUGAGACACGGUCCAGACUCCUACGGGAGGCAGCAGUGGGGAAUAUUGGACAAUGGGCGCAAGCCUGAUCCAGCCAUACCGCGUGGGUGAAGAAGGCCUUCGGGUUGUAAAGCCCUUUUGUUGGGAAAGAAAAGCAGCAGGUUAAUACCCCGCUGUUCUGACGGUGCCCAAAGAAUAAGCACCGGCUAACUUCGUG